CGGGCUCCCGCCCCUGGCCCACGCACCUGUGCUCAUCAUCACACCUGUCCCUGGUUGUAGUAAUCAGAAGAGCUUCUUAAGAUGGCCGACCUACACUACUCGUCGCUGGAACGUUGAGCCACCAGCAUCUUCCCCGGACCAGUCCCUGUAUCUGUGAACGAGCGAGUGAACGAGAGGAGCGUUGGAGGAAAAGAGUGGGACUUUGUGCUGAGAGAGUGGAGUGUGUUUUUGGACCUUUCCCCCUUCCCCUCGGACCCUGGAGCCCCAGAACCCUCUCCCUAACACUUUGUAUAUAUAAUCACCUGGUGUAAUCACUGUAAAUAAACUCACUGUCAGCUUUUGAAAAGA
Molecule: long non-coding RNA, 348 nt
Organism: Oreochromis aureus
Lineage: Eukaryota; Metazoa; Chordata; Actinopteri; Cichliformes; Cichlidae
Exons: 2
Source: RefSeq, a predicted model, not a curated record